This 257-nucleotide ribosomal RNA is filed under the name uncultured bacterium. RNAcentral's name for it is "partial small subunit ribosomal RNA". It matches the Rfam family "Bacterial small subunit ribosomal RNA", at positions 26 to 285 of the family's 1533-position model. The record is from RNAcentral.
AGGACGAACGCUGACGGCGUGCUUAAACACAUGCAAGUCGAGCGGAAAGGCCCUUCGGGGUACUCGAGCGGCGAACGGGUGAGUAACACGUGAGCAAUCUGCCCUUAGCUUCGGGAUAGCUCCGGGAAACCGGAAUUAAUACCGAAUACGACUACGGCCGACAUCGGCUGUGGUGGAAAAGUUUUUUCGGCUAGGGAUGAGCUCGCGGCCUAUCAGCUUGUUGGUGAGGUAACGGCUCACCAAGGCGACGACGGGUA